CAAACGGGUGAGUAACACGUGGACAACCUGCCCUCAAGUGGGGAAUAACGCUGCGAAAGCAGUGCUAAUACCGCAUAAGCUCGCGAGAGUAAAGCUUCGGCGCUUGAGGAGGGGUCCGCGUCUGAUUAGCUAGAUGGUGGGGUAACGGCCUACCAUGGCGAUGAUCAGUAGCCGGCCUGAGGGGGCUGACGGCCACACUGGGACUGAGACACGGCCCAG
RNAcentral lists this ribosomal RNA (219 nucleotides) under uncultured bacterium. RNAcentral describes it as "partial 16S ribosomal RNA". It matches the Rfam family "Bacterial small subunit ribosomal RNA", at positions 99 to 334 of the family's 1533-position model. The record is from RNAcentral.